RNAcentral lists this ribosomal RNA (517 nucleotides) under Hypsiboas punctatus A. RNAcentral describes it as "partial 16S ribosomal RNA". It matches the Rfam family "Bacterial large subunit ribosomal RNA", at positions 1913 to 2604 of the family's 2925-position model. The record is from RNAcentral. Lineage: Eukaryota; Metazoa; Chordata; Amphibia; Anura; Hylidae.
GUGACACAUGUUUAACGGCCGCGGUAUCCUAACCGUGCGAAGGUAGCGUAAUCACUUGUUCUUUAAAUGAGGACUAGUAUGAACGGCACCACGAAGGUUAUACUGUUCCUUUCUCCAAUCAGUAAAACUAAUCUCCCCGUGAAGAAGCGAGGAUAAAUUUAUAAGACGAGAAGACCCUAUGGAGCUUUAAACUAACCAGCAUUUGCUAUAUACAAAUUUUAACUUUAGACAAUCUAGCCCUCUGACUGGUAAUUUUCGAUUGGGGUGAUCACGGAACAAAAAAUAACCUCCGUGUCGAAAGAUAAACCUGAGCAAAAAGCGACAGCUUUCCGCACUAAAAAAUUAAUGACCCAAUAUUUUGAUCAACGAACCAAGUUACCCUAGGGAUAACAGCGCAAUCUACUUCAAGAGUCCCUAUCGACAAGUAGGUUUACGACCUCGAUGUUGGAUCAGGGUACCCCAGUGGUGCAGCCGCUACUAAAGGUUCGUUUGUUCAACGAUUAAUACCCUACGUGAU